This 253-nucleotide ribosomal RNA is filed under the name uncultured bacterium. Its description in RNAcentral is "partial 16S ribosomal RNA". It matches the Rfam family "Bacterial small subunit ribosomal RNA", at positions 524 to 776 of the family's 1533-position model. The record is from RNAcentral.
UACGUAGGGGGCAAGCGUUGUCCGGAUUUAUUGGGCGUAAAGAGCGUGUAGGCGGCCAGGUAGGUCUGCUGUGAAAACUCGAGGCUUAACCUCGAGCUGUCGGCGGAAACCAUCUGGCUAGAGUCCGGAAGAGGAGAAUGGAAUUCCCGGUGUAGCGGUGAAAUGCGCAGAUAUCGGGAAGAACACCCGUGGCGAAGGCGGUUCUCUGGGACGGUACUGACGCUGAGGCGCGAAAGCUAGGGUAGCAAACGGG